Long non-coding RNA from Rhineura floridana, 3193 nucleotides. RefSeq lists it as uncharacterized. The transcript is spliced from 5 exons. The record is from RefSeq and is a predicted model, not a curated record. NCBI's taxonomy places the organism in Eukaryota, Metazoa, Chordata, Lepidosauria, Squamata, Rhineuridae.
CUCCAAUUAGUGACAGCGUACAGCAGAGGCCCGUUGGUAUACAAGCGCUAAGAUCCUCGGAGGAAUAGUUCAAAAUGGCCUGCUGGCAGGGGAAUGUCGACAGACCACGAUGGGAAUUUUCCUGAGGCAGCGUUGGUGGAAUCCUUCAAGAAGUUGGGAGUGGCGUUUAUAAAUGGUCCAUGUUUCACAGACGUACAGUAAGGUUCUCUGGAAAGCUCAGGCAAUGGGCUGUGUCACUAUCCACUCCCCAUGCAAGAGGGUGCAAAACAGAGACUUUUGUUUGUUUGAGCUGGUAAUUCAGGAAUGAUGAACAGUUCUACUACUCUAUAAUGUCUUCAAAACAAGCAAAGGGAUUAAGGACGACUCUUGUUAUUAUUGCUCCUAAAGAAAACAAGCCGAAUGAAAUACCUUCUCAUUUUUAUGCUCCAGUAUCCCCAAUUAGCUCUGAGGCUUCCUUUGAAGAACUUUCCGGACUUGCAUUGGGGAACUGGAAGGAGGCACAAGGUGGGCAGCAGUGGUGGACAUUCCCAGAGCCCCAGCGUCAAGUACCUUCUGCUGUCAGGGAUGGUACUCAACCCACCUGCCCCAGGGCUCUAUAUGCAUCAUUUCUGUUUGGGGGAAAGGCCUUUUGGAGGACAAGAGCGGUCGCCUGGAGCAGGGGAAGAAAGGGACAGUGGGAAAAGGUCAGGAAGGCAAGAAAUCGAAGAGCAGCAGAGAGGAAGAGGAAAGAGAAGGAAAACUACCCUCUGGUGCUGCUGUGAAACAGAAGAAACUCCAAGUUCAUGGCAUUUCUUCUGUGUAGAUGAUCACUCGGUGCAGGUGAAGCUUGGCAGGAGGAAGGCCAUCUCACUCUCCUACAAGUUCAAGAAGUUUGGAAAGAACAGAGCAGAUUCUAAUGCAAGUUUACUUUUCCUGUUCUAAUGAAUUUUCAUGGCGGUGUUCACCCUGGCUGCUGCAAUUCAUAAGAGAAAAUUAAAAACCUGCCUUGAAACCUGGAUGACAAUGCAGCUAACAUCUUGCAGUUGCUGGCAUUAUCCUUUGAGAACCUUUCAGCUCCAUUUCUAUGCCACAUUGUUUUCCCUCACAAAAACAUAUUUUAAAUAUGAAACAUUGAAUGUUCAUUGCUUCUUUAUAUCAUUUUUUAUUCAUUGUGUGUUGGAGGCAAAGGCCAUGGGUUUUAUACAGCAGAAUGUCUGAUUUUGCCAUUUUAUUUGACGGCACAGAUUCCCUAAGAAAUCUAUUUUCUUUUAGGUGCAGAUGUUCUUCUGGGGAUGGGGAUUGCAAGUUUCUACUAGGGGCUACCAGAUCUCCACGGAUUCUGAGAUAAGGGGGCAGGGUCCAGUAGUUACUGGCAGGUUAACAAGGUGGGACAGUUGCAGAAGCUCUUUCUUCAGCCUGCUAUUGCCAACUUCUCAUAAGCCCCAUGCCAAAUGGUACCACUCACAUAUAAUAUCAGCCCAAGACCAGCUCCAGGUUUGGGGGGGGGGCUGGCAAAGUGCCCUCCUUCAUCAGUGGGUCCUCAACAGCCAUGGGCUUAUUUAGUGGCAAUAGCAAGCAGCCACAAAGUAUCAUUUUAAGCUUUCUACAAUGCUCAGGUGCUCUGGGGCACUGUGGGAAAUUUAAAACAGCAGCUCAUAGCAUCCCAGUACCAAGGGGCUCAAGGCAUGGGUUAGUGCUGGAAGGCUUUGGCAGGGUACCCAAGGGUGCCAGGUGCUGAUGCUGGGCCUAGAGCAGACUUCCACAAACAAACCAGCACAGUUCAGAAUACCUGUGUGCUGCAAGCAGAAAUCAAUAGCUAAUAAAGGGCGUGCAUGGUAAAUCAUUCCUAAUGACACCACACUCUUCUGAGUUAAGCUACAGAUGACAGGGCAUAUCAAAAUACAUGUAUGCACACAUAUAUGUAGCAUAUUGGUAAGGAAAUAAGCUAGGCUUGCAAACUGAACUACAGAAGCUGCAAGCCCCACUUUUUACAAAUAGCCCACGUUUAUUAUUAUUUUAUUAUAUUAAAUUUAUUAGAUGGUUGCUAUCCGAAGGUCUCCAAGUGGCUUACAACAUAAUUAAAACCGCAAAUAAUAUAUCAUAUAUAAAACAAAAGGAAAAUAAAAUAAAAAAUAACCACCCCCAUACAGCUACAGAAAGCUUUAGCAGCACACUAAUCCUAGCUGCCAAAGCAAAUAACAAUAAGAAUGAUAAUAAUGAUACUCUUCAUCCACUCUCCAGCAGAUAAAAAAUAAAAAGCACAAACAUAAACACACACAAAAACAUAUCUCCCCUGCCCAAGGUCAGGUGUGUUAUUCUGGGAAUUUGCUACCCCUCCCCACCCAGGAAUCUUUGCUUCAAAGCCAGCUGCUUCAUUCACUGGGGAAGUGGGUUUUCCUCCAGGGAUGGGCUGAUAGCUCUCCUCUCCUUUCAGAGAGGGCAGUAGCAACAUGCAGAGCGGUAGCAGGUGGCAAGAAGUUUGUUCUGCAGAUGUUCUGGCUACUGUACCUCUCCUGUUGCUGAUAAUCUGUGCCAGCCUUUGAGUCAUAGUAUUUGGUAUCUUCCUCCACUCAUAAUCACUUGAUUUCUGUUCUCAUAUCUGACAGACAUGUGAAUCAUGGCAAUUUCUGCUCCGAUUUCUGUUUCUGAUGGCAUUUUCCAACACUCAUUAAUGUUGUCUUGCCAACUAUGGGCUUUCUGAAACUUUUUUGCUUCAUCAGUCAGUCUCUUUAAUCCCUGGACUUGCUUAGCCAACAGACCCUCAAUGUCCUCUGUCACUUUUCCCCACUAUUUUCUCUGGGAUGUUCUCUUACUUCGAACAGGUUCUUUUUUUCAUUGUAGAUCCAUUUGAGCCACCAAAUAGCCUCAUCACUCCAUCAGUCUCUUGCUCUAGCCUUCUGGCCCAGUACUGCAUUUUUCUCCUCCCUCAAGAGGCAUCCUCUUCCAUACACUUGCAUACCAAAACAAGUAAUUUGCGGCAUGCCAAAAGUCUGAACAAAACAAAAAUACUGUAUCUCCUCUCAUCCAGUUUCCAAAAAAUGGCCUUAUUUGUUCAAUGAAAGCAAGUAAAAGCAGGGCAAUCUUUAUAAGUCUGAAUCCAGCAUUUCCUAUACCCGCCAAAUGUUGGAGAUGUGUAUGGCUAAGCUGUACUUAGUUUCACCUCUGUAUGCCCCAAUGCAUCCUUGAUCUUUUGUUUCCUGGUCUAUUAAAGCCU